CGAAGUGUAGCUUAAACAAAAGCAUCUGGCUUACACCCAGAAGAUUUCAACCCAACAGACCACUUCGA
RNAcentral lists this transfer RNA (68 nucleotides) under Megalonyx jeffersonii (Jefferson's ground sloth). RNAcentral describes it as "tRNA-Val". It matches the Rfam family "tRNA". Rfam says of the family: Transfer RNA (tRNA) molecules are approximately 80 nucleotides in length. Their secondary structure includes four short double-helical elements and three loops (D, anti-codon, and T loops). The record is from RNAcentral. Lineage: Eukaryota; Metazoa; Chordata; Mammalia; Pilosa; Megalonychidae.